RNAcentral lists this ribosomal RNA (382 nucleotides) under uncultured eukaryote. RNAcentral describes it as "partial 18S ribosomal RNA". It matches the Rfam family "Eukaryotic small subunit ribosomal RNA", at positions 592 to 976 of the family's 1831-position model. The record is from RNAcentral.
UGUAAGCGUAUACCAAAGUUGUUGCAGUUAAAACGCUCGUAGUCGGAAUUUGGCAGUUCCGGAUGUGUGCACGUCGUGUGCGCACUUCGCGGGGAUUGCUUUUGUGGUCUUGCGUAGGAUGAGGCACUUUUAUUAGUGAACGUCCUCACGCAACCACUUUUUACUGUGAGAAAAUCAGAGUGCUCAAAGCAGGCAUUUGCCGUGAAUGUAUUAGCAUGGAAUAAUAGAAUAGGACUUGGUUCUAUUUUGUUGGUUUGUUGGGACUGAGUAAUGAUUAAGAGGGACAGUUGGGGGCAUUUGUAUUUCGGUGCUAGAGGUGAAAUUCUUAGAUUACCGAAAGACAAACUGCUGCGAAAGCGUCUGCCAAGCAUGUUUUCAUUGA